Molecule: ribosomal RNA, 555 nt
Filed under: uncultured bacterium
Lineage: Bacteria
Description: partial 16S ribosomal RNA
Rfam family: Bacterial small subunit ribosomal RNA
Source: RNAcentral
UGGGGAAUUUUGGACAAUGGGGGCAACCCUGAUCCAGCAAUGCCGCGUGAGUGAAGAAGGCCUUCGGGUUGUAAAGCUCUUUUGUCCGGGAAGAAAUCCCAUCCUUGAAUACGGGGUGGGGAUGACGGUACUGGAAGAAUAAGCACCGGCUAACUACGUGCCAGCAGCCGCGGUAAUACGUAGGGUGCAAGCGUUAAUCGGAAUUACUGGGGGUAAAGCGUGCGCAGGCGGUUGUGCAAGACCGAUGUGAAAUCCCCGGGCUUAACCUGGGAACUGCAUUGGUGACUGCACGGCUAGAGUGUGUCAGAGGGGGGUAGAAUUCCACGUGUAGCAGUGAAAUGCGUAGAGAUGUGGAGGAAUACCGAUGGCGAAGGCAGCCCCCUGGGAUAACACUGACGCUCAUGCACGAAAGCGUGGGGAGCAAACAGGAUUAGAUACCCUGGUAGUCCACGCCCUAAACGAUGUCAACUAGUUGUCGGGGAUUAAUUUCCUUGGUAACGCAGCUAACGCGUGAAGUUGACCGCCUGGGGAGUACGGUCGCAAGAUUAAAAGCUC